UACGAAGGGGCUAGCGUUGCUCGGAAUCACUGGGCGUAAAGGGUGCGUAGGCGGGUCUUUAAGUCAGGGGUGAAAUCCUGGAGCUCAACUCCAGAACUGCCUUUGAUACUGAGGAUCUUGAGUUCGGGAGAGGUGAGUGGAACUGCGAGUGUAGAGGUGAAAUUCGUAGAUAUUCGCAAGAACACCAGUGGCGAAGGCGGCUCACUGGCCCGAUACUGACGCUGAGGCACGAAAGCGUGGGGAGCAACAGG
This 251-nucleotide ribosomal RNA is filed under the name uncultured bacterium. RNAcentral's name for it is "partial 16S ribosomal RNA". It matches the Rfam family "Bacterial small subunit ribosomal RNA", at positions 524 to 775 of the family's 1533-position model. The record is from RNAcentral.